Molecule: long non-coding RNA, 299 nt
Filed under: Hordeum vulgare
Lineage: Eukaryota; Viridiplantae; Streptophyta; Magnoliopsida; Poales; Poaceae
Description: long non-coding RNA (HVUL_LNC003537)
Source: RNAcentral
UCGGGCUGGCCAAUGGGCACUCCAAUGGAGUCGCGCCCGGGACACACCUUCCUGGAGGAUCUUCUUCAGAGGAGGACGCUGCGUUGGGGCCUUCUGCCUCGCGUCACUGACAGUCGCCGGUGGCGGAGGUUGAUGGUGGUGGUGCCGACAGCCACCGCUUGAGAUGGAUGAGGACGAGUCGCUGGGAACCAGAAACAUCCCGUCGCCUCCUUAUCCUCUCGGGCGUGUGUAUGGGCUGGUGGACAUGCAUCAAGCUAGGCCUAGUUUGGCUAGUGGGCACUAGCCCAUGCUGUACGAGC